GGGUCGUUGUCACAUGACUCUAGUGUAGCGUUGGGUAAUAUAGUGAGAUCGUUGAGCAAGUAAACAAAUAUGGCGAAUGUUUCUAAUUUGGUUUAUAUUUUGUGGGCAAUAUUAAUUAAUGUUUGUUUUGGAUUCACACCUGAAGUAGUUUUAGAGCAAGUAUUGUUCGAAGGAGGUGAUGAAGGCGAUGUGUAUGCCUACCGAAUCCCAGUCGCUACGCUAACCUCACAAGGCAAGGUUGUUGUUUACGCAGAAGCCCGGAAGUAUUCGAGAUCGGACUCAAAUUCGAAGUUUAUUGCCGGGCGAACGUCUGUAAAUGGGGGCUACAGUUGGUCUGUUACAGAAUUUCUUGUCAAUAACUUUCGCACCAAUGAUGGUAUUAAUCUUGGAGCAACGUUAUACAACGCUGAACGCAAAGAAUUGUUAAUUUUUUACACCGAAUGUGCACAUCGAACAUGUGCAAGUGGAGUGACCUCAAAUUAUAUGUUGAAGUCAGUUGAUGGAGGCGUCUCAUGGCAACCACCAGUGGAUAUUUCAAAGGCAAAUGGCACAAACAAUAUUAAUAAUAAUUUGUAUAAUUAUUCUUGGUCAGCUGGGCCAGGAUACGGCAUACAGAAAAAGCUGGAGCCUCAUAAAGGUCGUUUGAUUGUGUGCGGCCAUACUAUCAGACACACAUAUUAUGCAAUGGAAUGCAUAAUCAGUGACGAUCAAGGAAGUACUUGGAAAAUCGGAGCUUCACAACCAGCACUUCCAAAGUAUGGACCAAUGACCAGUGGCGUAUUUUGGCCAAGUGAAGUUCAGAUGUUGGAACUUCGGAACGGUUCCAUAUUAUUCAACAUUAGGAACGAGAGGAAAUACCAGUGCGCUUGCCGCAUUGUAAUGUUAAGUAAUGACGGAGGCGACACUAUUGACUUUGACAGCAUCUACUUUGAUGCCACAUUGAUUGACCCCACUGAUGCAGGAGCAGUCCUUUUACACGGAGACAACAUAUUCUUUGUUAAUGCAGCCAACACGGGAUCUAGGAGGAACAUCACUUUAAGAUGGAGUGCAAAUGACGGCAAGACUUGGGAUGGAGCCUUAAGUAUCUACACAGGUCCAGCAGCCUACUCCACGUUGACGAGUGUUGAUGAAAACCAUAUUGGUGUUCUAUACGAACGGAGUAUGAGUGGCAAGAGUGAUGCUGGCAGUAUAUGGUUUACUCUUGUUAAGAUUAAGUAGAUUUUUAUAUACCGUUGAACCUUUCAUAAAAUCCUUGGGUCAUACUAAUCAUUUUGUUCACUAAUAAAAUACUGGUUCAAUAUUAUCAAGCAUAAAUUGGCAUUGAAAAAUUCCACCCAUGCAUCCUGUAAUACCUCACACACACACACACACACCAACUGUAAAUUAAGAUUGUUAACACAUAGCUGUAGGCAUAUUCAGUUUUAAGCUCGGUUUCCAUCUCUCACCCUAUCGGCGACAUCGGGGUGCAUUGCUAGCUGCCCCGACGCAAUCGGGAAGGCGCCCCGAUUCGUCUGCAACACAAUCGGCAAAGUUAAAGCAGGUUUAACCUUCCCGACAACUGUCGCCGAUAGUAAGCGAUUCUAUGGAAAC
RNAcentral lists this unclassified non-coding RNA (1590 nucleotides) under Anneissia japonica. Its description in RNAcentral is "sialidase-1-like, transcript variant X1". The record is from RNAcentral. Lineage: Eukaryota; Metazoa; Echinodermata; Crinoidea; Comatulida; Comatulidae.